UACGAGAGGUACAAGCGUUGCCCGGAUUUAUUGGGCGUAAAGUGUUUCGUAGGUGCUUUUGUAAGUUAAGUUUCAAAGCCCAGGGCUCAACCUUGGAAAGGGACUUAAUACUGCAAGAGUUGAAUUAUUUCGGGGUUACUGGAACUAUCGGUGUAGGGGUGAAAUCCGUUGAUAUCGAUAGGAACUCCAAGGGCGAAGGCAGGUAACUAGGAAUAUAUUGACACUGAGGAACGACAGCUAGGGGAGCGAAAGGG
Molecule: ribosomal RNA, 254 nt
Filed under: uncultured bacterium
Lineage: Bacteria
Description: partial 16S ribosomal RNA
Rfam family: Bacterial small subunit ribosomal RNA
Source: RNAcentral